AAUUCUCAACCUUCUCGGUUUUCUUCUGGACACCGAAGGAGGCUUGGACAUUGGAGGCCUUUGCUGGCGUCUCUUAGACCCAGCUCCUCUUAAAUGAAUUAGCGGGGUCCUCUUUGCCGAUCCUUGACAUGUGAUAAGAUGUUUCCAUGACUUGGUUUCUGGCUCUGUUGCAUUUGGGACCCGCUUCUAACCGUCUCGACGAGACAACGUUUGGGCGUGUCUCCCUUCUCGGGAGACUCUCUCAACCCCCACGAAC
RNAcentral lists this unclassified non-coding RNA (256 nucleotides) under Lactarius deliciosus. RNAcentral describes it as "partial internal transcribed spacer 2". RNAcentral also lists the same sequence under 1 other name. Lineage: Eukaryota; Fungi; Basidiomycota; Agaricomycetes; Russulales; Russulaceae. The record is from RNAcentral.